CUCUGUGACUCCUACGGGAGGCAGCAGUGGGGAAUAUUGCACAAUGGGGGAAACCCUGAUGCAGCCAUGCCGCGUGUGUGAAGAAGGCCUUCGGGUUGUAAAGCACUUUCAGUAGGGAGGAAGGUAGUGUAGUUAACACCUGCAUUAUUUGACGUUACCUACAGAAGAAGCACCGGCUAACUCCGUGCCAGCAGCCGCGGUAAUACGGAGGGUGCGAGCGUUAAUCGGAAUUACUGGGCGUAAAGCGCAUGCAGGCGGCCUGUUAAGUCAGAUGUGAAAGCCCGGGGCUUAACCUCGGAAUUGCAUUUGAAACUGGCAGGCUAGAGUCUUGUAGAGGGGGUAGAAUUUCAGGUGUAGCGGUGAAAUGCGUAGAGAUCUGAAGGAAUACCAGUGGCGAAGGCGGCCCCCUGGACAAAGACUGACGCUCAGAUGCGAAAGCGUGGGGAGCAAACAGGUUUAGAUACCCUGGUAG
RNAcentral lists this ribosomal RNA (472 nucleotides) under uncultured bacterium. RNAcentral describes it as "bacterial SSU rRNA". It matches the Rfam family "Bacterial small subunit ribosomal RNA", at positions 328 to 793 of the family's 1533-position model. The record is from RNAcentral.